Molecule: ribosomal RNA, 303 nt
Filed under: uncultured bacterium
Lineage: Bacteria
Description: bacterial SSU rRNA
Rfam family: Bacterial small subunit ribosomal RNA
Source: RNAcentral
ACUCCUACGGGAGGCAGCAGUNAGGGAAUAUUGGACAAUGGGGCAAGCCCUCGAUCCAGCCAUGCCGCGUGAUUGAAGAAGGCCUUAGGGUUGUAAAGAUCUUUCAAUAGUGAAGAUAAUGACGGUAACUAUAGAAGAAGCCCCGGCUAACUCCGNGCCAGCAGCCGCGGUAAUACGGAGGGGCGUAGCGUUGUUCGGAAUUACUGGGCGUAAAGCGCGCGUAGGCGGGCUAUUAAGUCAGGGGUGAAAUCCCGGAGCUCAACUCCGGAACUGCCUUUGAUACUGGUACCUAGAGGUCGAGAG